UACGUAGGGUGCAAGCGUUGUCCGGAAUUAUUGGGCGUAAAGAGCUCGUAGGCGGUUUGUCGCGUCUGCUGUGAAAACUCGGGGCUUAACCCCGGGCCUGCAGUGGGUACGGGCAGACUAGAGUGCGGUAGGGGAGACUGGAAUUCCUGGUGUAGCGGUGAAAUGCGCAGAUAUCAGGAGGAACACCGGUGGCGAAGGCGGGUCUCUGGGCCGUAACUGACGCUGAGGCGCGAAAGCGUGGGGAGCGAACAGG
This 253-nucleotide ribosomal RNA is filed under the name uncultured bacterium. Its description in RNAcentral is "partial 16S ribosomal RNA". It matches the Rfam family "Bacterial small subunit ribosomal RNA", at positions 524 to 776 of the family's 1533-position model. The record is from RNAcentral.